UAGGGAAUCUUCGGCAAUGGGGGGAACCCUGACCGAGCAACGCCGCGUGAGUGAAGAAGGUUUUCGGAUCGUAAAGCUCUGUUGUUAAGGAAGAACGAGUGUGAGAAUGGAAAGUUCAUACUGUGACGGUACUUAACCAGAAAGGGACGGCUAACUACGUGCCAGCAGCCGCGGUAAUACGUAGGUCCCGAGCGUUGUCCGGAUUUAUUGGGCGUAAAGCGAGCGCAGGCGGUUAGAUAAGUCUGAAGUUAAAGGCAGUGGCUCAACCAUUGUAGGCUUUGGAAACUGUUUAACUUGAGGGCAGAAGGGGAGAGUGGAAUUCCAUGUGUAGCGGUGAAAUGCGUGGAUAUAUGGAGGAACACCGGUGGCGAAAGCGGCUCUCUGGUCUGUAACUGACGCUGAGGCUCGAAAGCGUGGGGAGCGAACAGG
This 429-nucleotide ribosomal RNA is filed under the name Bacteroidota bacterium. RNAcentral's name for it is "Bacteroidetes bacterium partial 16S ribosomal RNA". It matches the Rfam family "Bacterial small subunit ribosomal RNA", at positions 355 to 776 of the family's 1533-position model. The record is from RNAcentral. Lineage: Bacteria; Pseudomonadati; Bacteroidota.